This 433-nucleotide ribosomal RNA is filed under the name uncultured bacterium. Its description in RNAcentral is "partial 16S ribosomal RNA". It matches the Rfam family "Bacterial small subunit ribosomal RNA", at positions 29 to 507 of the family's 1533-position model. The record is from RNAcentral.
AACGAACGCUGGCGGCAGGCCUAACACAUGCAAGUCGAGCGAGCAUUUCGGUGCUAGCGGCGGACGGGUGAGUAACGCGUGGGAACGUGCCCUUUUCUGCGGAAUAGUCCUGGGAAACUGGGGGUAAUACCGCAUACGCCCUUUUGGGGAAAGAUUUAUCGGAGAAGGAUCGGCCCGCGUUGGUUUAGGUAGUUGGUGGGGUAAUGGCCCACCAAGCCGACGAUCCAUAGCUGGUUUGAGAGGAUGAUCAGCCACACUGGGACUGAGACACGGCCCAGACUCCUACGGGAGGCAGCAGUGGGGAAUCUUAGACAAUGGGGGCAACCCUGAUCUAGCCAUGCCGCGUGAGUGAUGAAGGCCUUAGGGUUGUAAAGCUCUUUCAGCUGGGAAGAUAAUGACGGUACCAGCAGAAGAAGCCCCGGCUAACUCCGUG